CCUACGGGAGGCAGCAGUGAGGAAUAUUGGUCAAUGGGCGCGAGCCUGAACCAGCCAAGUAGCGUGAAGGAUGACUGCCCUACGGGUUGUAACCUUCUUUUAUAGAGAAGUAACGUGAGUCACGUUUGCCUCUUUGUAUGUACUUUAUGAAUAAGGAUCGGCUACCUCCGUGCCAGCAGCCGCGGUAAUACGGAGGAUCCGAGCGUUAUCCGGAUUUAUUGGGUUUAAAGGGCGCGUAGAUGGGUUGUUAAGUCAGUUGUGAAAGUUUGCGGCUCAACCGUAAAAGUGCAAGUGAUACUGGCAGUCUUGAGUACAGUUGAGGUAGGCGGAAUUCGUGGUGUAGCGGUGAAAUGCUUAGAUAUCACGAAGAACUCCGAUUGCGAAGGCAGGUCACUAAACUGCCACUGACAUUGAUGCUCGAAAGUGUGGGUAUCAAACAGGAUUAGAUACCCUGGUAGUC
This 460-nucleotide ribosomal RNA is filed under the name uncultured bacterium. Its description in RNAcentral is "partial 16S ribosomal RNA". It matches the Rfam family "Bacterial small subunit ribosomal RNA", at positions 338 to 795 of the family's 1533-position model. The record is from RNAcentral.